Molecule: ribosomal RNA, 529 nt
Filed under: uncultured bacterium
Lineage: Bacteria
Description: bacterial SSU rRNA
Rfam family: Bacterial small subunit ribosomal RNA
Source: RNAcentral
AAUAGAUACCCGGGUAGUCCACGCCGUAAACGAUGAGUGCUAAGUGUUAGAGGGUUUCCGCCCUUUAGUGCUGCAGCUAACGCAUUAAGCACUCCGCCUGGGGAGUACGGCCGCAAGGCUGAAACUCAAAGGAAUUGACGGGGGCCCGCACAAGCGGUGGAGCAUGUGGUUUAAUUCGAAGCAACGCGAAGAACCUUACCAGGUCUUGACAUCCUCUGCCAACCCUAGAGAUAGGGCGUUCCCCUUCGGGGGACAGAGUGACAGGUGGUGCAUGGUUGUCGUCAGCUCGUGUCGUGAGAUGUUGGGUUAAGUCCCGCAACGAGCGCAACCCUUGAUCUUAGUUGCCAGCAUUUAGUUGGGCACUCUAAGGUGACUGCCGGUGACAAACCGGAGGAAGGUGGGGAUGACGUCAAAUCAUCAUGCCCCUUAUGACCUGGGCUACACACGUGCUACAAUGGAUGGUACAAAGAGCUGCGAACCCGCGAGGGUAAGCCAAUCUCAUAAAGCCAUUCUCAGUUCGGAUUGUAGG